RNAcentral lists this long non-coding RNA (578 nucleotides) under Sinocyclocheilus grahami. Its description in RNAcentral is "lncRNA (ENSSGRG00000005914.1)". The record is from RNAcentral. Lineage: Eukaryota; Metazoa; Chordata; Actinopteri; Cypriniformes; Cyprinidae.
GCUCAAAUAAAAAGCCGGAGAAAAGAAGCAAAAAGCUGAAGAAGAAAUUAAAAAGCGUGGAUGAAGGUGAGAGUCGUCCUCACGCCAGCGGAGGACAGGAGAGAUCAUCAGACAAGAAGAGGAAGAAGAAAAUCAAGGCGAGGACUGAUGAGAUCCAGGAGGAACCGGCGGCAAAGAAGGGGAGUAAAGACAGAAAUAAAACCCCCAAAAAAAUUAAAAAGAAAAAACCUAAAGAGGAGCAUCAUGAUGCCGUCGAGAAGAGAGCAAAUAAAGCUGCCCGCCGACUCGCCCUACAGAGGGACAUUGACAAGGAAUCACAGCCGAAGCCGACUCUUGGCCAGUGGGGCACGGCACAGUUCGACAGCUCUGACAGACAAGCCAAGUUCCUGCGCUUGAUGGGCGGGUUUAAAAAGAGCAGCCAGCCCCUCACAGGAUUCUCUGGCCAGGCUAACAUGGCGCUAGGAAAAGAAAGCCAACAGACUUUGCAGCAAGGCCUUCUGGGAGAGUUUGAGCGCGCACAGAGCCGCAAUAUGGACUUCAGGAAUAAAGGAGUCGGACUGGGGUUCGCGGCGCCGUCC